UACGAAGGGGGCUAGCGUUGUCUCGAAUCACUGGGCGUAAAGGGUGCGUAGGCGGGUCUUUAAGUCAGGGGUGAAAUCCUGGAGCUCAACUCCAGAACUGCCUUUGAUACUGAGGAUCUUGAGUUCGGGAGAGGUGAGUGGAACUGCGAGUGUAGAGGUGAAAUUCGUAGAUAUUCGCAAGAACACCAGUGGCGAAGGCGCUCACUGGCCCGAUACUGACGCUGAGGCACGAAAGCCAGGGGAGCAAACGGG
RNAcentral lists this ribosomal RNA (252 nucleotides) under uncultured bacterium. RNAcentral describes it as "partial 16S ribosomal RNA". It matches the Rfam family "Bacterial small subunit ribosomal RNA", at positions 524 to 776 of the family's 1533-position model. The record is from RNAcentral.